GCCUGAGUCUGAUAAGGGCGUCAGAGUUGUUGGGCGUAGACCCGAAACCGGAUGAUCUAUCCAUGGCCAGGAUGAAGGUGCCGUAACAGGUACUGGAGGUCCGAACCCACUAACUUUGAAAAGUUAGGGGAUGAGCUGUGGAUAGGGGUGAAAGGCUAAACAAAUCCGGAAAUAGCUGGUUCUCCCCGAAAACUAUUUAGGUAGUGCGUCGUACGGACACUUGCGGGGGUAGAGCACUGUAAUCGUUGGAGGGGUCAUUGCGAUCUACUCCGCGAUAGCAAACUCCGAAUACCGCAAAGUGAUAUACGGCAGACAGACAGCGGGUGCUAACGUCCGUUGUCAAGAGGGAAACAACCCAGACCGCCAGCUAAGGUCCCAAAUACAUGGCUAAGUGGGAAACGAAGUGGGAAGGCACAGACAGCUAGGAGGUUGGCUUAGAAGCAGCCAUCCUUUAAAGAAAGCGUAAUAGCUCACUAGUCGAGUCGUCCUGCGCGGAAGAUGUAACGGGGCUCAAGCCAUGAACCGAAGCUGCGGAUGUGUCUUUGACACGUGGUAGGGGAGCGUUCCGUAAGCCUGCGAAGGUGUCUCGAGAGGGAUGCUGGAGGUAUCGGAAGUGCGAAUGCUGACACGAGUAACGAUAAAGGGUGUGAAAAGCACCCUCGCCGUAAGCCCAAGGUUUCCUGCGCAACGUUCAUCGGCGCAGGGUGAGUCGGCCCCUAAGGCGAGGCAGAAAUGCGUAGUCGAUGGGAAACAGGUCAAUAUUCCUGUACCGCUCUAUGAUGCGAUGGGGGGACGGAGAAGGUUAGGUUGGCCAUCUGUUGGAAUAGGUGGUUCAAGUGUGUAGGCGUGCUGCGUAGGCAAAUCCGCGCGGCUUAGCUGAGGCAUGAUAACGAGGGCCUUCGGGCCUGAAGCAACUGAUACCCUGCUUCCAGGAAAAGCCUCUAAGCUUCAGUCAUAGAGUGACCGUACCGCAAACCGACACAGGUGGGCUGGUAGAGAAUACCAAGGCGCUUGAGAGAACUCAGGAGAAGGAACUCGGCAAAUUGAUACCGUAACUUCGGGAGAAGGAAUGCCCCGUUAGCUUGUAGGAGUACAUCCGAAGGGCGAAGGGGCCGCAGAGAAUCGGUGGCUGCGACUGUUUAUUAAAAACACAGCACUGUGCAAACACGAAAGUGGACGUAUACGGUGUGACGCCUGCCCGGUGCCGGAAGGUUAAGUGAUGGGGUGCAAGCUCUUGAUCGAAGCCCCGGUAAACGGCGGCCGUAACAAUAACGGUCCUAAGGUAGCGAAAUUCCUUGUCGGGUAAGUUCCGACCUGCACGAAUGGCGUAACGAUGGCCACACUGUCUCCUCCUGAGACUCAGCGAAGUUGAAAUGCUUGUGAAGAUGCAAUCUACCCGCGGCUAGACGGAAAGACCCCAUGAACCUUUACUGUAGCUUUGCAUUG
This 1446-nucleotide ribosomal RNA is filed under the name metagenome. RNAcentral describes it as "bacterial LSU rRNA". It matches the Rfam family "Bacterial large subunit ribosomal RNA", at positions 675 to 2119 of the family's 2925-position model. The record is from RNAcentral.